CCGCCCGCGUCGGGAGAGCGCGUGGCCGCCGUCUGCAUGAAGACGAAGCGCCGCGCCGCCGAAGGGGCAUACCCGCAAACUCUCAGGCAAAAGGACCGAACGCGUCGAG
RNAcentral lists this non-coding RNA (109 nucleotides) under unidentified. RNAcentral's name for it is "Candidatus Burkholderia Glycine sequence". It matches the Rfam family "Glycine riboswitch aptamer". From Rfam's summary of the family: This family represents the bacterial glycine riboswitch. The record is from RNAcentral.